Molecule: non-coding RNA, 72 nt
Filed under: Bradyrhizobium sp.
Lineage: Bacteria; Pseudomonadati; Pseudomonadota; Alphaproteobacteria; Hyphomicrobiales; Nitrobacteraceae
Description: Glycine sequence
Rfam family: Glycine riboswitch aptamer
About the family: This family represents the bacterial glycine riboswitch. Glycine riboswitches usually consist of two metabolite-binding aptamers domains with similar structures in tandem.
Source: RNAcentral
UCAAUUGUCACGGAAGAGCUCGGAUCGCCAUUUGCGACCGACGCCGAAGGAGCAACCGCCCCGGAAACUCUC